AUUGAACGCUGGCGGCAGGCUUAACACAUGCAAGUCGAGCGGGGUGAUGGCGCUUGCACUAUCACUUAGCGGCGGACGGGUGAGUAAUGCUUAGGAAUCUGCCUAUUAGUGGGGGACAACAUCUCGAAAGGGAUGCUAAUACCGCAUACGUCCUACGGGAGAAAGCAGGGGAUCACUUGUGACCUUGCGCUAAUAGAUGAGCCUAAGUCGGCUUAGCUAGUUGGUGGGGUAAAGGCCUACCAAGGCGACGAUCUGUAGCGGGUCUGAGAGGAUGAUCCGCCACACUGGGACUGAGACACGGCCCAGACUCCUACGGGAGGCAGCAGUGGGGAAUAUUGGACAAUGGGGGGAACCCUGAUCCAGCCAUGCCGCGUGUGUGAAGAAGGCCUUAUGGUUGUAAAGCACUUUAAGCGAGGAGGAGGCUCUUUUGGUUAAUACCCAAGAUGAGUGGACGUUACUCGCAGAAUAAGCACCGGCUAACUCUGUGCCAGCCGCCGCCGUAA
Molecule: ribosomal RNA, 503 nt
Filed under: uncultured bacterium
Lineage: Bacteria
Description: partial 16S ribosomal RNA
Rfam family: Bacterial small subunit ribosomal RNA
Source: RNAcentral